This 590-nucleotide long non-coding RNA is filed under the name Physcomitrium patens. RNAcentral's name for it is "long non-coding RNA (PPAT_LNC009164)". Lineage: Eukaryota; Viridiplantae; Streptophyta; Bryopsida; Funariales; Funariaceae. The record is from RNAcentral.
UUUUUUUUUUUUUUUUUUUUUUAUUAUUAUUAUUUUUUAUUGGGAUAAUACAGUGUUGUUAUCGUUCUUAAAAUUUACUCAGUCUGAAAGGCUGUAAUGAACGUGCGAAACUAUCAGGUUUUCCUGCAACAUGGUACGCUUUGAUGCAUCAAGUCCUAGAUGCUCGUUUGAAUGAUGUAACCUGAUGUAACCUGGUGCAAGUAACCUGAUUUAACCUGCUGCUAGCUGUGUAACCCGAUGUAAGUAUUUCUGCCCAGAAAAAUGUACACAACAAUGCCAGGCGCCUAUGUGUCAACUAGUAGAUCUCUCAAUAAUAGAUAAUGGCUCUGAAGAGCAUUCAGAAGACAUUCACCCAAGCGUGAAAAGAGCAGUACGAUCCCAACAAAGUUUAUCCGUGUCAAUGUCUGGCCUUCACCACUUCGAUGGAACUCUCAUUCGUGCAUACAGGAGGUAUCGUUUCUCUUUCACCAAUCCAUCAAACAUGGACACAUUCUGUCUCAUAUUGCAAUGAGAACAAAAAAACAUUCCAAAUACUUUACAGGUUCCUACCACUCCUCGGUCCCUCAUCGUAGAAUCCAAGUUGUGAGCCA